AGUUGCUGGGACUACAGGCGUGUGUAACCACACCCAGCUUCUAUUGCCAUUUUAAAAAAUGAUUAAUUUUUUUACCUGGUAAUCUUGCUGUAUUUCCAUUUUCAGUGGAUUCUAUUGUACAUUCUAAGUUGAAAAUCAUAAGCAAAGCUCAGUUGCCUCCUCUUUUCCCAUAUUUAUAUAUUUCUUUUUUCUCCUCGGCUUUGCUGGUUUCUCAAGUAUGAAGUUGAAUAGUGUCAGUGAUAGUGAGCACCCUUAUUUUACUGCUUCUAAUCUUUUGUCUUUGGUUGUAGUGUUUGCUGUAAUUUCUAGUAUACAUCUUUUGUCAGGUUAAGAAAUUUUCUUAUGUUCCUAGUUCGUUCGUUCGUUCGUUCAUUCAUUCAUUCAUUCCCUCCUCCCUUUCCUUCUUUCCUCCCUUCUUUCCUAUUUCCCUCCCUCUUUUCCUUCAGAAAUGAUGCUAAAUUUUAGCAGAUGACUUUUUCCACACCUAUUGAUAUGGUAUGAGGUUUUUUACUUUUAAUACAGUCAUGUCAUGAUUCUGUCAAGCCAUCUUUUCUUUCCUGGGGAAUAUCCCAGCAGGGUUAUAAUAUGUCAUUCUUUUUAAU
This 602-nucleotide long non-coding RNA is filed under the name Marmota monax (woodchuck). The record is from RNAcentral. Lineage: Eukaryota; Metazoa; Chordata; Mammalia; Rodentia; Sciuridae.